CCUACGGGUGACUGCAGUGGGGAAUAUUGCACAAUGGGGGAAACCCUGAUGCAGCGACACCGCGUGCGUGAAGAAGUAUUUCGGAACGUAAAGCUCUAUCAGCAGGGAAGAAAAUGACGUUACCUGACUAAGAAUGCCCGGCUAACUCCGUGCCAGCAGCCGCGGCAAUACGUAGGGGGCAGGGGUGAUCCGGAUUUAAUGGGUGUAAAGGGAGCGUAGACGGCAGCGCAAGUCUGGAGUGAAAUCCCAUGGCUUAACCAUGGAACUGCUUUGGAAACUGUGCAGCUAGAGAGCAGAAGGGGUAAGCGGAAUUCCUAGUGUAGCGGUGAAAUGCGUAGAUAUUAGGCGGAACACCAGUGGCGAAGGCGGCUUACUGGACUGUAACUGACGUUGAGGCUCGAAAGCGUGGGGAGCAAACAGGAUUAGAUACCCCGGUAGUC
RNAcentral lists this ribosomal RNA (440 nucleotides) under uncultured bacterium. RNAcentral's name for it is "partial 16S ribosomal RNA". It matches the Rfam family "Bacterial small subunit ribosomal RNA", at positions 338 to 795 of the family's 1533-position model. The record is from RNAcentral.